GGGACUUGUAAUAGUAGGGUGGUGGUGGAGAGUGGACUGGUGGUGGUGGAGAUUUGUAGUAGUAGGGAGGAGGUGGAGAUGGUGAUGGGGGAGGUGGAGAUUUGUAGUAGUAUGGUGGUGGUGGUGAUGGAGAUGGAGGUGGUGGAGAUUUGUAGUAGUAAGGAGGAGGAGGAGAUGGCGAUGGGGGAGGAGGAGACUUGUAGUAAUAUGGUGGUGGUGGUGAUGGAGAUGGAGGAGGUGGAGAUUUGUAGUAGUAUGGUGGUGGUGGUGAUGGUGAUGGUGGUGGUGGAGAUUUGUAGUAGUAUGGUGGUGGUGGAGAGUAGGCUGGUGGUGGUGGAGAUUUGUAGUAGUAUGGUGGUGGUGGAGAGUGGACUGGUGGUGGUGGGGACUUGUAGUAGUAAGGAGGAGGCGGAGAUGAAGACGGGGGAGGAGGGGAUUUGUAGUAGUAUGGAGGUGGUGGUGAUGGAGAUGGAGGUGGUGGGGAUUUGUAGUAGUAAGGAGGAGGAGGAGAUGGUGAUGGUGGAGGCGGGGAGUUGUAGUGGUAGGUUGGUGCUGGGGCCUUCACUGGAGGUGGUGGUGAUUUGUAGUAGUAUGGUGGGGGUGGAGAGUGGACUGGUGGUGGUGGAGACUUGUAGUAAUAUGGUGGGGGUGGAGAGUGGACUGGUGGGGGUGGAGAUUUGUAGUAGUAUGGUGGUGGUGGUGGUGACUUAUAAACAUAGGUAGGGCUUGGUGGUGGCGGGGACUUGUAAUAGUAUGGUGGAGGAGGUGGUGACUUGUAAGCAUAAGUAGGCGAUGGUGGUGGUGGAGAGGUGUAAUAGUAAGGAGAUGGAGUAGGCUUUGGCUUUGGCUUCUCACACUCCUUGUAAGGGGUCUUUGGAGCAUAGGCAAAUGGCUCAGCCUUAAGCACAACCUCAUACUUGUCCUUGGACUUCACGGUGAGCAUGGCACCCUUGUUGCCCCCAUGUAGACCGGUAGCAAUGUUGCAAGAUGAACCCUUGGGUGGGGCAUGGAGCUUGGCCUUGCAUGCCUCAGCUCCAUAUUUGGCAUAGUUAAAUCCUUCAACUGUGAUGCUAAAUUUUCCAUUGAUUUUGGUUUUUCCGUAAGCUGUGAUCUCCUUUUCUCCAACCUUGCAAGUCACUUCCACAACAGCAUCUGCUCCAUGUGAAAUAAUCAAAGUCAAUCACCAUAUUUAGCAUCAAUUUGUUGCGAAAUGUCAACCAAAUUCUGUACCAUGUAUAUACUAUAUUUUUCUUAUGUACCGAAAAAGCAAGCAUAUUUAGCUUUUCAUGUGUCUAUAUGCUGCCAAAUGGGAUGACAGAAACGGUAAAUCAACCAAGUUUUAUUAUUUUAAUAGGAAAAUUUUGAUCUGAUUAUAAGAUUUCUAUUCAAAAUUCUUCACUAAUUAAUUAGUUAAUCUAACAGGCAGGCUUGUCAUUGCUUAAUUAGAUACAGUUACAAAAGAAAUAAAUAGACAAGGACUUUGUUUUCUUGCUUAACCUGUUUGUUUUUUUCUCUUUUAAUUUAAUUUAUUUCGGUAAAUAUAUAUACAUAUUGAUUCCUUAAAAUUAUUACAAUAUUUACAUGGUUUAAAUUAAAAUAUUAAAUAUAUAAAAUUUUAACUUCUAGAGCACAUGAUAUAUGACAGGGUUCCGCGAAAAUCUUAACGUAAAUUUAAAAGAAAAACAAAAGAAAGCUAAUUUACAUGCAAAUGUAAAAUAAUAUAUAUAUUAACAGAUGAAUCAAAGUUGGACAUUUAAAAAUUGGAAAUGUAUGAGAAAAUUGUACCUUUGAGAUGUUUCUUGUUGUGCGAUUUUGCUGGAUAGCUCCAGUCAUAGCACCUGUAGCAGUAAACUUUACCAACGACCUUGACUAUGAAUGGGUGGGGGUGGGGGUGAGGGGCGGGAUGAUAUGGAGUUGGAGGAGGUGGUGAUUUGUAGUAGUAUGGUGGAGAGACGUAAUGCGGAGGAGGUGGCGGAGACGUAUAGUAGUAAGGUGGUGGAGGAGAUGGUGAAGGUGGUGGUGGAGACUUGUAGUAGUAAGGAGGUGGUGGAGAUGGUGAUGGUGGUGGGGGAGACUUAUAGUAGUAAGGUGGUGGUGGAGAUGGUGAGGGUGGUGGUGGAGAUUUGUAGUAGUAAGGAGGUGGUGGAGAUGGUGAUGGUGGUGGUGGAGACUUAUAAUAGUAAGGUGGGGGUGGUGAAGGAGAAGUGGGGGGGGAGACUUGUAGUAGUAAGGUGGUGGUGGGGAAGGAGAUGGAGGUGGCGGGGAUUUGUAGUAGUAAGGAGGAGGUGGUGAUGGGGACGGUGGUGGUGGAGAUUUGUAGUAAUAUGGAGGAGGUGGAGAUGGAGAUGGAGGAGGUGGGGACUUGUAGUAGUAUGGAGGAGGUGGGGAAGGAGAUGGAGGUGGUGGGGAUUUGUAGUAAUAAGGAGGAGGUGGUGACGGGGACGGAGGUGGUGGAGACUUAUAGUAAUAUGGAGGAGGUAGGGAUGGGGAUGGAGGUGGUGGAGACUUGUAGUAGUACGGGGGAGGUGGUGAUGGGGAUGGUGGCGGUGGAGACUUGUAGUAGUAUGGAGGAGGUGGUGACGGGGAUGGUGGUGGAGGAGACUUAUAAUAGUAUGGAGGAGGAGGUGAUGGAGACGGUGGUGGUGGAGAUUUAUAGUGGUAUGGAGGGUUCACUUCAUGUUUCGGUGGAGGUGGUG
RNAcentral lists this long non-coding RNA (2696 nucleotides) under Gossypium raimondii (Peruvian cotton). RNAcentral describes it as "long non-coding RNA (GRAI_LNC005002)". The record is from RNAcentral. Lineage: Eukaryota; Viridiplantae; Streptophyta; Magnoliopsida; Malvales; Malvaceae.